CAGUUAAGACGGCUUGAGUGAGAUUGUUAAUGCUACUGCCUGGUGCAUAUUGCAUCCUGGCAAAGGUCACAAGUCCUUAAAAGCAGAGUGGCAA
This 94-nucleotide non-coding RNA is filed under the name unclassified sequences. The record is from RNAcentral.